Molecule: ribosomal RNA, 1446 nt
Filed under: Ferdinandcohnia humi
Lineage: Bacteria; Bacillati; Bacillota; Bacilli; Caryophanales; Bacillaceae
Description: Bacillus humi 16S ribosomal RNA
Rfam family: Bacterial small subunit ribosomal RNA
Source: RNAcentral
GGGAGCUUGCUCCCAAAAGUUAGCGGCGGACGGGUGAGUAACACGUGGGCAACCUGCCUAUAAGACUGGGAUAACUUCGGGAAACCGGAGCUAAUACCGGAUAACAUAUGAGACCACAUGGUCUCAUAUUAAAAGAUGGCUUUUAGCUAUCACUUAUAGAUGGGCCCGCGGCGCAUUAGCUAGUUGGUGAGGUAAUGGCUCACCAAGGCGACGAUGCGUAGCCGACCUGAGAGGGUGAUCGGCCACACUGGGACUGAGACACGGCCCAGACUCCUACGGGAGGCAGCAGUAGGGAAUCUUCCGCAAUGGACGAAAGUCUGACGGAGCAACGCCGCGUGAGCGAAGAAGGUCUUCGGAUCGUAAAGCUCUGUUGUUAGGGAAGAACAAGUACCGUUCAAAUAGGGCGGUACCUUGACGGUACCUAACCAGAAAGCCACGGCUAACUACGUGCCAGCAGCCGCGGUAAUACGUAGGUGGCAAGCGUUAUCCGGGAAUUAUUGGGCGUAAAGCGCGCGCAGGCGGUCCUUUAAGUCUGAUGUGAAAGCCCACGGCUCAACCGUGGAGGGUCAUUGGAAACUGGGGGACUUGAGUGCAGAAGAGGAGAGCGGAAUUCCACGUGUAGCGGUGAAAUGCGUAGAGAUGUGGAGGAACACCAGUGGCGAAGGCGGCUUUGUUUUUAAAAAUUGACGUUUGAGGGCGAAAAAAGCGGGGGGGGAGAACACAGUAUUUAGUUCCCCCUGGUUUUGUCCCCCCCCGUAAAACGAUGAGUUUUUAAGUUUUAGAGGUUUUCCCCCCCUUUUAGUGGGGCAGCCAAACCCAUUAAACCAUUCCCCCUGGGGGAGUACGGUUCCCAAAAGACUAAAAUUCAAAGAAAAUUGACGGGGGCCCGCCCAAGCGGUGGAGCAUGUGGUAUAAUUCGAAGCAACGCGAAGAACUUUACCAGGUCUUGACAUCCCGUGACAACUUUAAAGAUAGAGCUUUCCCCUUCGGGGGACCCGGUGACAGGUGGUGCAUGGUUGUCGUCAGCUCGUGUCGUGAGAUGUUGGGUUAAGUCCCGCAACGAGCGCAACCCUUGAUUUUAGUUGCCAGCAUUAAGUUGGGCACUUUAAGGUGACUGCCGGUGACAAACCGGAGGAAGGUGGGGAUGACGUCAAAUCAUCAUGCCCCUUAUGACCUGGGCUACACACGUGCUACAAUGGAUGGUACAAAGGGCAGCGAAACCGCGAGGUUAAGCCAAUCCCAUAAAACCAUUCUCAGUUCGGAUUGCAGGCUGCAACUCGCCUGCAUGAAGCCGGAAUCGCUAGUAAUCGCGGAUCAGCAUGCCGCGGUGAAUACGUUCCCGGGCCUUGUACACACCGCCCGUCACACCACGAGAGUUUGUAACACCCGAAGUCGGUGGGGUAACCGUAAGGAGCCAGCCGCCUAAGGUGGGACAGAUGAUGGGGG